UUCCCCUAGUAACUGCGAGUGAAGCGGGAAAAGCUCAAAUUUAAAAUCUGUUGGUCUUUGGCCAUCCGAGUUGUAAUUUAGAGAAGCGUUUUCCGCGCUGGACCGUGCACAAGUCUCCUGGAAUGGAGCGUCAUAGAGGGUGAGAAUCCCGUCUUUGGCACGGACGCACCAGGGCUUUUGUGAUGCGCUCUCGAAGAGUCGAGUUGUUUGGGAAUGCAGCUCAAAAUGGGUGGUGAACUCCAUCUAAAGCUAAAUAUUGGCGAGAGACCGAUAGCGAACAAGUACCGUGAGGGAAAGAUGAAAAGCACUUUGGAAAGAGAGUGAAACAGUACGUGAAAUUGUUGAAAGGGAAACGCUUGAAGUCAGUCGCGUCGGCCGAGACUCAGCCUUGCCUUGGCUUGGUGUACUUCUCGGCUGACGGGUCAGCAUCAAUUUUGCCCCUUGGAUAAUGGCGAGGGAAAUGUGACACCUUUAUGGUGUGUUAUAGUCCCUUGUCGCAUGCAAGGGUUGGGAUUGAGGAACUCAGCACGCACCUUUGGGUGUCGGGGCUUUGCCCACGAUACGUGCUUAGGAUGUUGGCGUAAUGGCUUUAAACGACCCGUCUUGAAACACGGACCAAGGAGUCUAACAUGCCUGCGAGUGUUCGGGUGGAAAACCCGUGCGCGCAAUGAAAGUGAAAGUUGGGACCUCUGUCGUGGAGGGCACCGACGCCCGGACCAGACCUUCUGUGACGGCUCUGCGGUAAAGCAUGUAUGUUAGGACCCGAAAGAUGGUGAACUAUGCCUGAAUAGGGUGAAGCCAGAGGAAACUCUGGUGGAGGCUCGUAGCGAUUCUGACGUGCAAAUCGAUCGUCAAAUUUGGGUAUAGGGGCGAAAGACU
RNAcentral lists this ribosomal RNA (879 nucleotides) under Russula sp. 4 TM03_421. Its description in RNAcentral is "eukaryotic LSU rRNA". It matches the Rfam family "Eukaryotic large subunit ribosomal RNA", at positions 75 to 932 of the family's 3401-position model. The record is from RNAcentral. Lineage: Eukaryota; Fungi; Basidiomycota; Agaricomycetes; Russulales; Russulaceae.